AUGGCGUGUGCAGCUUCUUAUGCGGUCGCCAACCGUUCCACUAGUGGCUCGCUAUCUAAAGAUAGAUAAUAAUAAUAACACGAGCAAAAUGAAAAACCGACGUCUUUUCCACUUUCACGUCGCACAGCUGUACGUUCACAAAAUGAAACAGCAUGGACAUUGUUAUUAAAUCCAGUCCAUAAAGCCAGAAGCAUCGACAGAUUUGACUACGAUUUCUAGCCGAUAGAGAAAUCGACCUGAGAAGGAAAGGUGUCGACCGAAUUACAAUCUGCUACUUGGCAUCUUGUUGGCGCUCUUAACAAACGACUUGUAUUUCUCGCUCCAGUACGAAAAUAUUGGCGCAGUCAUUCUACAACGCACCGACUCAUUUUUCCAAGGCUGGAUCGAACCUCGACGAGGAAAAAAUAUUAAAAUAAAAAAGUUUGUCACGAGCAUGUGGUUAUCAUCAGUUGCACGGAAAACGAAGUGCGGAAAUCAUUCAGUGUCUAAACUGUUUUCUUUAAAAUAUACUUCCCGCCAAAGGGAAGAAGAAAACGAUGUUUUGCGGUGUUGAACGGACCCCGUUAUGUCAUCUUAUUCAUUGCCAUUUUAACAAAUGCUAAACGGCUCUAAAACGCGUUAAAGCAGUUUGUUAAAACAGAAGCAGGUGAUGGACGUAACCUCGUUCUGUAAUUAGCUAAUUAUCAGACAAGGAAGGGCCGAGACAACAAUCUGCAGCCGAGAUUAUCGAGAACGCUCGUCAUGCAAAAACAGGUGACAUUUUUUUUUUUUUGUCUUUGAAGCUCGUGAUUUUUUUUUUUUAUUCAGAUUGUAUGGCAGUUGAUGUGGUAAUCAACUUGUCACCUUGAUCUUUUUUUUCUCUUUCAAAUGGAAAGAAGGAAGGGAAAACAGUUUUAAUUAGUUCCCAUAAUAUUGAACCCAUUUUGCGUGCCAUAGUAUUCCAUGACAGAAGACAGUUAGCCGACUGCGUUUAUUGUUUCGUUGUUGGGGAGUAUUCAUACCAUAUUAGGGCAACCGCAAAAUGAGGAAAUCGUGUACAGUAGAUAAACGGAUGAUAACUGAAAUGCAAUUCUUUCGCUAUGUAUAUGCUGAACAUCAAUAGGAGGAGGUUCAUUGAGGGUGCAUUUACCGUACUAAUAAUGUCAAUUCUUUCAUCCGUGUUGUACUAAAAAAUAGAAUUGCAAUUGAAAUAAUUGAUUUUUUACACACA
Long non-coding RNA from Daphnia magna, 1210 nucleotides. RefSeq lists it as uncharacterized. The record is from RefSeq and is a predicted model, not a curated record. Lineage: Eukaryota; Metazoa; Arthropoda; Branchiopoda; Diplostraca; Daphniidae. The transcript has 4 exons.